UGUCCUCAUGCCAUAAGCAUGGAUGCGUAAUUGACCGCAUUUUAUCUGUACAUUUUAUCACAUAAACACUGUUUGUCAUUUAAUGGGAAAAUGCAGCCACUGUAAGCAUAGAAACCUUGUAACAAAAAAAAAGAGAGAGAGAAAGAAAGAGAUGGUUGCCUGAGAUGGGUUGGAUGGCGUAUGUUUGUUUUUCAGUGCUAAGAAUUUUUUUUUGUUAAAUGCUAAAAAGAAAAUCAAGUUAACAUUUUUAAGACUUACAAUGCAUAAAUCAUGUCACAAUCAUGCAACUAACCUUAUGGCAUUGUGUUGUAUCAUAAGGUUUAUACCUUAUAGCUUACAACCAAGGCAUUUUCCUGUUUUGCUAUGAAAUAACCUCCACUGGAGAUCUUAAGAUUAAAAACUUAUUUUGCUUUGGGCCAAGUUAUUUACACACCCCAACAGUAUAAGGCCAAACGUUUGUGUACACCUGACCAUCACACCCAUAUGUGUUUUUUCUCCAAACUUUUGCCACAAAGCCGGAAGCACACAAUUGUAUAGAAUGUCUUUGUAUGCUGUAGAAUUAAAAUUUCCCUUCACUGGAACUUAGAGGCCCAAACCUGUUCCAGCCUGACAACGCCCCUGUGCACAAAGCUCUCAAUGAAGACAUUGUUUGGAAAAGGUUUGAGUGGAAGAACUCGAGUGUCCUGAACAGAGACCUGACCUCAACCCCACUGAACACCUUAAGGAUGAACUGGAACACUGAUUGCACCCCAGACCUCCUCAUCCAACAUCAGUGCCUGAUCUCACUAAUGCUCUUCUGAUUGAAUAAUCACAAAUGCCCACAGCCAUGCUCCAAAAUCCAGUGGAAAGCCUUCCCAGAAGAGUGAAGCUUAUUAUAGCAGCAAAGGAGGAUUAAAUCAUGAAUGGGAUGUACAACAAGUACAUAUGGAUGUGAUUGGCAGGUGUUCACAAACUUUUGGCCAUAUAGUGUACGUUACAGGACACUGAGUCAUUUCAGUCAGCUGGCCUUUCUCCCUACCAUGUUCAUAUUUAUCUUGGCAACCUGCUUAUAAUUUACAGGUGUGUUUUUAAUUUGGAAUCACUGUCCCAUUUAAUGACUGUCUCGGGUUAAAUCAGCUGUCUCUAGAAGUCACCAUUCAUGCAUCUCAUUGUGUUUUUCUGCAUAGUUGCUGCAAACAGCAAAAUUGCUCAAGCUUUUGACCCCUCUCAUUUCAUAAUCAUCACAGAUGUUGUUCUGACUCCUUAUCAGUUAUUGAGGUUUUGUUCCAGCUGGCACUACAUUUGGUCAAUGAUUUCAUCCCGAAGUGCAAUCAAAGAACAAAAUCCCAUGCCAAUAUUAUAUUACAAUGAUAAAUGACCUAUGUUUAAUGCUAUAGCAAACAAAUGCUUUUGCACAAUGAUGAAGAGCCCAGGGCUAUGUGCAAAGUCCUGAGUCAUUUUUCAAAUAUGACCAACAUUGGUUUUUAACUUGCGCUCAUUUCAGUGACUUCAAUUCAGAAACAUGGCAAGAUAAUAAUAUUGCACCAUUUCAUCUUUUGACGUAAAUAUUACUUGUGAAAAAAAAAAAGAUGAUGCCCUUUUUAUGAAUUAAGACUUUUAUAUUGCUCUCAUGUGUAUUUUUGUGUGUAAUGUGCAUUGUGUUUUUGGGGGUGAUUACUUAUUUCUAAUCUAUGCAGUUGAAUGUUUUCCAUUCAUAUUCAAGUCAGAGAGUUUAAAACUGAAAUAUCAAUGUGAUCCAUCAGGCCACUGCUAGGCAGUGAUACUUCAGCUGCAUGCUCACUGCUGUAAGUGAUGAGGUCAACAUAGAGAAGAUGGUAACCAGAGGAUGAGCAGAAGUUUCGUGAGGAGGACGUGGUUUAGAUAUGUGUGGGGACCAAAAACUCCAAUGAUCAUAAUAAAAUGUUGUUAUUUUAAUACUGUGGGAACAUUUGGCUGAUGUCGGUUAAAACCACAAUGAUCAUAGUAACACGCUGUUAUUUUGAUACUGUGGGGAUAUUUGGCUGAUGUCAGUUAAAGCCGGGUGAACACUGUGAGAUCUUUAAUAGUCCUUUGCGACUGUUGCUUGUCAGACUGUACGAUCUUGAUCCUCGCUGUAAGCCAUGUCACACUGUAGGAUCUCAGCUGUCAUUAAUGUCAGACUGUGUGACCAGUCAAGACGUGAAAAACGGACACACGCAAGAAAACUAAUACGGAGUAGGACAAGCCACACUACAGGACUGUGCCUCAAAUCUUCUGACACUGCCAGAAUUUAAUCGGAGGAAAAAUUUGAUGGGGUACGUGUCAAACUAGCGAUCAAAGACUACAGAUUUUGGCCUAGGAUUAUAGGAAUCUUUUAGGAUUCUCAAAAUUUGUCUCAGACGACCAAGUCAUGACUAAAAUCGUACAGUGUGAACCGGGCUUAAAAUAAUGGCUUAAAAAGUGGUGAAAGAUUUGAGUAUUGAGACGACUUUUAAUUUUUACUUGCCAACUAGUAAUCAAAACUGUUAAAUCAAAACUGAUUCGGAAAAUCAAUAUUUUCGAGUAUUUAUAAGGCAGGUAAGUGCUGAUAACCUGCCAAAGCACACUUUAUUAACAGCCACAUACAAGCUACAAAUUACAGCAUACAGUAUUUUCAGCUUUGAUGCUUUUUAGGCUACACUGUUAACUCCAAAAACAAAUAAAUCAGUGCUCUAAAUGUACAAAAUAAUACAACCCUGUACCAUACUAUACUAUUUAAGGAUGCACUAAUUCUUAAAAUGCACUUAUGUACCCAAUCUGGUGGUCAAGUGACAGUUGAAAAUGUUGAUUCUGGAACUGAGAGUGCACAGCAUGGAAGCUCAUGUCCGUCAACAGAGCCUUCUCUAUAGCUCUAUCAAUUGUCAACCUUCCUUGGAUGGAAGAUCCUAUGUCUACACCAGCAUCUGGGAGGUUUUUCUUGGCUGAAAAUGGCCCAGAAGUUGAACAUCACCGGAUGACAGCCUCUGUUAACUGGCAUGCAUGGCCCAUAGGCUUUAAACUAGCUGAGUGAUACUGGACAAUAAAGUGCAACCCGCUACAUGAAGUGCCCUCUUUCAAAUUUACAACAAAAAUAACACCAGGUGGCAUUAAUUCAAGGGGAAAAUCCAAUUCAUGUCUUGCACAGUGUGCUGUUGACUAGAAUUUAUUUAAUCUAUAUUAAUUUUUUUAAAACUAACAAAGCACAUUUUGCCUGCUGUCUUUACCUCAUUGGGUUUUUUUUCCACCACCCCGACUACUGAAUAUACUACUUACUGACUAGAUGGGGGACAUUUUUGUUUUCUUCCUCGUCUCGACCUAUACCUCUCAUUUGAAGGAAAAAAAAAGCUCAGUUUCAGGUCUGCUGUGAGCUGAGAAACAGACAAAUGUGGACAAACUGGGGUGUCACUAAUAAUCCGAAACUCUGAUCUUCUAGUUAUUGUCAGAAAUUCUAAUGGUUUUUAUCACUCAGAAUAGUCAAGAACUGAUGACUUUUACAGAAAGAAAUCAUUUGACUAAUAUUGCCAACCAAACCAAAGUGGUGUGUAGUAGGAGGCAAUUGUGAAAACAUUAUAAAACACUUUUUUUUUUUCUCCAAAUGAAGUGAUUAUAUCUUGCUUAGUAAAGGUUAUAGGGUGUUUCUUUCCCACAUUAGACUGAUAAAAAUCUUUGCAUGCAAAUGUGAACCAUGCUCCACCAGCGUUCACACAUUUAAGCAUUUAUUUUGUUUUGGACCAGGUUGUAUACACAACCCUGCAAUUGUUGUUGGAGUGUCUGUCUUUUAGCUAUUUUUUGGAAUAAUGCUCAGUUAUUAUUUUAACAAUAUACUGAAAUUAUUAUUUCCAUUCCUUAUGAUGUUUAGAAGUGAAUUAAAAUUAUUUCCACUCGGAUGGUAUUCGUUAGUAUAGUAAGCCAGAUUUUGUUCUAUUGUGACUGGUGUGCAGUGUAUUGAUCUGACACAGCUUUUUAUUCAAAUGCAUUCGAUGCAUUACAGGGAACUUGACAUAAACCAUUAGGCGUAGUUAAAGAUUUAUUUAGUAUGUGUAGUAAUACAUAAGCCAGUAGAAACUCCCCACGAAGAUAGUAAUACAGCUGUGUGUGUGUGUGUGUGUGUGUGUGUGUGUGUGUGUGUGUGUGUGUGUGUGUGUGUGUGUGUGUGUGUGUGUGUGUGUGUGUGUGUGUGUGUGUGUGUGUGUGUGUGUGUGUGUGUGUGAAUCCAUAAAGGAGAGUGUUGUGGAGUGUGUAAUUUGUAUUAAAACAUAUGCAGUCUCAAAGGAUAUCCCAUUUGUUGUUCUAUUCCCCAAACAGAUGCCAUAAUUGAAUAUUUUGUCUAAGUGCUUUUGACUUUGGCUCUUCAGCAAGUUUGUAGUAACUCCCGAGAACUGUGUGUUCUUUGUCUAUUAGUAUAAUGUUUUGAAUCUCAUUUAGUACUUUGUAGUGAGGGCAUAAAUUAAUGCAGAGGGUGUGAAGGUCAUGGCCUUUCUUCAUUAACCCUUUAGCCCCAUACUGACAGCCCCAGAGUUCAAUUCUGCUCUCUCGUACAGACUUCCAGACUUCUCCUAUUAGAUUCACUGUUCCUAAAUAAUUCAUAGUAGUUACUGAAUAAUGUAAAAUAAAAAUUAAUAAAGGGGUUGCACAGCUCCGGGGUUGGGGGUUUGAAUCCCGCCUCCACCCUGUGUGCACGGAGUUUGCAUGCUCUCCCCAUGGUACUCUGGGUACUCUGGUUUCCUCCCCUAGUCCAAGGAUAUGCAUUGCUGAUUGUGCGAUUGUGCCCUCUGAUGGGUUGGCACUCCAUCCCGGGUGUCCCCUGACUUGUGCCCUGAGUCCCCUGGGAUAGACUCUAGGAUCACUGUUACUGUGUGUAGGAUAAACGGUACAGAAAAUAGAUAGAUGGAUGGAAAAAAUAAAUAAAUAAAUAAAAUUGGGCAUGCUUUAAUUUAAAGUGCAUUAAAUCUACAGUCUUAAAAAUAAACAUGGCUCCCAAGUAGUGCAACAGAAAAGCAUUAGUGUAAUUGUCUGGAGCUUGCGAUCUCGAAUCCAGCUAUCUGUGACUGGGAGCUGAGCACAAGAGAGCAGACAUGUUCACAAGUCCCUGAGGUCCAAGCCCAAGUCAGGUCUCAAAUCUUUGUUCUGUUUUUAGAAAUAGUUCUUUCAGCUAGUAAUUAACAGUGUAUGAGGCUAAAUCAAUUUUGAAAUAUUAAAACUGAUUACGUCUACAGAAUGUCUUGUUCAUUUAUUCAAAAUUGUCUAAUAAGCACACAAGGUUUUACUUAGAUCAUUCAUUCAAAAUUAUACCAUUAAUCAAAAAACUAUUACUUUCAAAUGAUUACAUUUGAUUUAAAAGUUAUCCCUAUAAUUACAAGAAAACAGAACAUUCAUAGAAAAUUCAGGAAAGAUAUUACUGCCAACGUGCUGUGUGUUUUGAGCUAUUUGAGUUGCCGUAGUUUGCUGUAGUUCUCAAGCAAUGGUGGGUAAGGUAGUCUUCCAGUGAGUGCCGGCGGUAACAAAACCCAAGUUUGUAGAUGUAAUAAAACUUGGUAAACUUGGAUAUUAUAUGCAUACGAUAGCUAAUACUUGUGUGUGUGGGGUGG
Molecule: long non-coding RNA, 5564 nt
Organism: Ictalurus punctatus (channel catfish)
Lineage: Eukaryota; Metazoa; Chordata; Actinopteri; Siluriformes; Ictaluridae
Source: Ensembl